AACAAUAUCCUGACGCUGAGUGACUGCGCUCGGAGACUCCAGCAUCAGUGAUUUUGUUGA
This 60-nucleotide microRNA precursor is filed under the name Ornithorhynchus anatinus (platypus). Its description in RNAcentral is "Oan-Mir-338-P2_pre stem-loop". It matches the Rfam family "mir-338 microRNA precursor family", at positions 6 to 66 of the family's 69-position model. The record is from RNAcentral. Lineage: Eukaryota; Metazoa; Chordata; Mammalia; Monotremata; Ornithorhynchidae.